RNAcentral lists this ribosomal RNA (373 nucleotides) under Vates sp. MN128. RNAcentral describes it as "partial 12S ribosomal RNA". The record is from RNAcentral. Lineage: Eukaryota; Metazoa; Arthropoda; Insecta; Mantodea; Mantidae.
AUACCCUAUUAUUUUUAUUGUAAAAUUUUAAGUCAGAGUAUUAGUAGAUAUGGUCUUUAAACUUAAAGAAUUUGGCGGUAUUAUAGUCUAUUUAGAGGAAUCUGUUAUAUAAUCGAUAAUCCACGUUGAACCUUACUUAUAUAAAUUCUUGUAUACCGCUGUUUAAGAAUAUACUUUUAGGUGUAUUUUCAAGAUAUAAUAAUAAUUAAAAUUUCAAGUCAAGGUGCAGUUAUAUAUAAGUUGAAUAAUGGAUUACAAUAAAUUUUAUUUAUUAUGGAUUAUUACUAAAUAAGUAAUUUGAAGGUGGAUUUAAUUGUAAUUUUAUAAAGAUUAUUAAAAUGAUUUAUAGCUCUAUAAUAUGCACACAUCGCCC